CGUCAGUUUCAGGGAAGGUGCAAUUCCUUACUGGCGGUAACGGCGCAGCCCGCAUCCAUAUGGGCGCCGCCGAAGCCCGCGACCCGCGCAAGCGGCUGAUCCGGUGGGAUUCCGGAGCCAACGGUACAGUCCGGAUGAAAGAAACGGAGC
This 150-nucleotide non-coding RNA is filed under the name Bifidobacterium scardovii. Its description in RNAcentral is "FMN sequence". It matches the Rfam family "FMN riboswitch aptamer (RFN element)". Rfam says of the family: The RFN element is a highly conserved domain that is found frequently in the 5'-untranslated regions of prokaryotic mRNAs that encode for flavin mononucleotide (FMN) biosynthesis and transport proteins. This element is a metabolite-dependent riboswitch that directly binds FMN in the absence of proteins. Lineage: Bacteria; Bacillati; Actinomycetota; Actinomycetes; Bifidobacteriales; Bifidobacteriaceae. The record is from Rfam by way of RNAcentral.